CAGUCGCCGCGGGAAUACAGAGGGUGCAAGCGUUAAUCGGAAUUACUGGGCGUAAAGCGCGCGUAGGUGGUUUGUUAAGUUGGAUGUGAAAUCCCCGGGCUCAACCUGGGAACUGCAUCCAAAACUGGCAAGCUAGAGUAUGGUAGAGGGUGGUGGAAUUUCCUGUGUAGCGGUGAAAUGCGUAGAUAUAGGAAGGAACACCAGUGGCGAAGGCGACCACCUGGACUGAUACUGACACUGAGGUGCGAAAGCGUGGGGAGCAAACAGGAUUAGAUACCCCGGUAGUCCCUGUCUCUUAUAC
This 301-nucleotide ribosomal RNA is filed under the name uncultured bacterium. Its description in RNAcentral is "partial 16S ribosomal RNA". It matches the Rfam family "Bacterial small subunit ribosomal RNA", at positions 509 to 807 of the family's 1533-position model. The record is from RNAcentral.